GACGAACGCUAGCGGCGUGCCUAAUACAUGCAAGUCGAGCGAUGAAGGGUGGUUCUCGCUCCAGUUUGAAGCGACGCGAACACGGGAGUAACGCGCGUAGACUACGCCUUUGAGCGGGGGGGAACAUUCGGGGAAGAACGCUAAAACCGCAUAAUAACUUUAUAAAUAAGUUUUAAGGUUGAAAGAUGCAAUUGCAUCACUCAAAGAGGAUCCCGCGGUGUAUUAGCUAGUUGGUGAGGUAAAGGCUCACCACGGCGAUGAUACAUAGCAGAACUGAGAGGGAGAGCGGCCACAGUGGGACUGGGACACGGCCCAGAGCCCUACGGGAGGCAGAAGCAGCGAUACUUCGGAAAUGGCAGAAAGUGUGACCGUGCAACGCCGCGUGAGUGAAGAAGGUGAUCGGACCGUAGAACUCUGUCGGUAGAGAAGAACGUUGGUGACAGUGGAAAGCUCUUCAAGUGACGGUACCUACCCAGUAAGGGACGGCUAACUACGUG
This 497-nucleotide ribosomal RNA is filed under the name uncultured bacterium. RNAcentral's name for it is "partial 16S ribosomal RNA". It matches the Rfam family "Bacterial small subunit ribosomal RNA", at positions 28 to 507 of the family's 1533-position model. The record is from RNAcentral.